RNAcentral lists this ribosomal RNA (216 nucleotides) under uncultured bacterium. RNAcentral describes it as "partial 16S ribosomal RNA". It matches the Rfam family "Bacterial small subunit ribosomal RNA", at positions 118 to 347 of the family's 1533-position model. The record is from RNAcentral.
UGGGAACCUUCCCUAUGGUUCGGAAUAGCUCAGGGAAACUUGGGGUAAUACCGGAUAAGCCCUUCGGGGGAAAGAUUUAUCGCCAUUGGAUGGGCCCGCGUCGGAUUAGCUAGUUGGUGAGGUAACGGCUCACCAAGGCAACGAUCCGUAGCUGGUCUGAGAGGAUGAUCAGCCACACUGGGACUGAGACACGGCCCAGACUCCGUACGGGAGCAG